Drosophila gunungcola (fruit fly) is the source of this 339-nucleotide long non-coding RNA. RefSeq lists it as uncharacterized. The transcript has 2 exons. The record is from RefSeq and is a predicted model, not a curated record. Lineage: Eukaryota; Metazoa; Arthropoda; Insecta; Diptera; Drosophilidae.
ACUUCUUUAAUUGGUUUCUAUAAGUCAAAUAUUUUAACUUAAAAUUGACCCAGUGCUUCACAAUUGCACAACUAGGGGGGAAGCAAUUGAAGAGAUUUCCAAUGAAAAUCGCACCGUUGUUACAUUAAAAUGCUUUCAACACUGCCUACUGGAAAAUGCCAAUAUCAUUUCCAAUGGUAAGAUCGUCAUUUCUGAUCUUUCAACAAUGAAUAUAACAUCAGAUAGCAUUGAAAGGGCGAUGUUGUGCCUGGAUAUAAAGGAUGACAACAGAUGUGAGCUGGGCCACAAGCUAUUAAAUGCCUUCAAGAGCCUAUUAAAUAAGUUUCACCAGACCCAAAA